RNAcentral lists this transfer RNA (64 nucleotides) under Ocypus olens. RNAcentral describes it as "tRNA-Glu". The record is from RNAcentral. Lineage: Eukaryota; Metazoa; Arthropoda; Insecta; Coleoptera; Staphylinidae.
AUUUAUAUAGUUUAAUAAAAACAUUACAUUUUCAUUGUAAAAUUAAAAUAUUUUUUUAUAAAUA